RNAcentral lists this long non-coding RNA (4882 nucleotides) under Homo sapiens (human). Its description in RNAcentral is "HSALNT0390549". The record is from RNAcentral. Lineage: Eukaryota; Metazoa; Chordata; Mammalia; Primates; Hominidae.
GGCAUUGGCGCAUCUGGGAACCGACGUCCGUGCGCGGCUGGCUAGAAUGCUGGACUCGCCUCCGCAGCGCUGGCCUGCAGGGAUUAGAAGACAUGUGGGGUCAAGGAACAGGAAGCUGACCUGGAUGGAAGUUGAACAGUGAUCUUUGCUCUCUGCCUGGCUCCUGAGUCCUCUGCCAUGUUCCUGGAGAAGAGGAGCCAGCCAGGGUAAGAAGGGCAGGGGCUUAGGGUGGAAACGCCAUGUGGGUGAGGAUCCUGCCUGAAACAGCUUUGAGAGUCCUGCGAUGACAGAUUGGCCCCAUGCCAGGCCUUAUCUCUUUGGACAUCCCAAACAGGAAUGACCAGCAUGUCCGAUCCUGGGACUGGGAGCCGGAAAGGGAUGAGGGAUGGUUUUUCCACUCCAGGGGAGUGUCCAGAGGGAAUGUGGAGCAGAGCAGGGGCGACUGGUAGGGGGAGGGCCUGAGCUAAAGAAUGUGGGGGAGUGUCAGACCAGUCUGGGGAGAUGGAGUGGGAGUGGAGGGAGACAUGGAGACUAGAAGGAUCUCAGCUGGAGAGAUGGAGAAAGAGAAAUCUCAGGGUUCUUUGGUUUCAGUGGCACCGUCGUCUGUAGGAUCAUCUCAUCCCUCAGUUGACUUUAUCAUGUCAACUCUUUAUCUGUCAACCCUCCCCCAUGGGGAAGAGACCCACCUAGAAACACACAGACAGACAGAGAAACAAGGACACAGGAAUAAUAUGUGUAAUGAGGAGUCUAAGUCCAUUUGUUGAUGUUUGCUGACAGAUUUUAAGCCUCACCCUUCCCUCUUCUCUGUGCCCUACACCUGGACAAGCUGAUAAGAAAGUCUGGGUGCACCCUCCUUUGGUGUUUGAGGGGGAAUAUUCACAAGCCCCUUCCUGAGGGAACCCUCACCCCUCAACCACAAUAAAAACCCAGGCCAGUCUCCUUCCUGGCUCUCCCAACACAUCUGGGACCUGCUUGAAAGACUGCCCCUGCUCCCCCUGGAGACCUCAAUUAUGUAAAUAAUAAACCUUUUCAUACUCUCUUGGUGUUUGGGUGGUGUCGUCAGUCUUCAUUCAAACCAAACCUUGGAUGGGAUCCAUCUGCCUCUGCAGGUGACCGUAACAACAUGCAAAUGGUGAGUUCUGCUGGGGGGUCAUGGAAGCUCCCUGGAGGAGGUGUAUCUGGACAACAGGGAAAGAAAGGAGCUGGAGAAGAGAGGCAGAAAAAUUGGGUCCUGGUUCAGGUGAAGUUUUCCCAGCUGGAACAAUGACAAUGUCAAUAUCCCACAAAGGCGGCUUCUGUUUAUUUAGCGCUUGCUGUGUUCCCACAAGUCUUCCUCUACCUGCCCUCUCCCCAGCCCUCAUCUCACUCUCCCAGAGCCCCAGAGCACACCAAUGGACACCAUCACCUCUCGGGCAGAUCAGCACAGAGACGUGAAGCACACAGGCAGCUGCUGGAAAAAUAACAAGGAAUUGCAAUGGUGUGCCCCUCCGUUGAAUGCAAGCUCUCUUCUGCCUUCUCACCUUGGGCAAGUUACCUUCCGUUCCAGGCCUCGGUUUCUCCAUGUGUGAAAUGAAAGGGCUGGAGAGAAAUCUCUCACUAUUCCCCAAUCUACAUUCAUUGUAUCCCAAACCUUCUAAUAUCUGUUCAACGAAGUGUACCAAAUCUCAGCUAUUGGACUGAGACUCAGGGGUCUAUCUGACUUGAAUUGAAAAUGCAAAUUACUGAAGAGGGAGGGAGGGAGGAGUGCUGAAGAUUGAAUGGAUUUAUCAGAUUUCCUUCUCCUAUGGCCCAGAUGCAGGCCUAGUCCAGGCGAUUCCCCUGGCUCAGAAUCUGCCAGGCUCAAGCAUUCAUUGACAGCCUACUAUGUACCAAUCCUGGGCUGAGUCCCAACCCGGGGAUGACUUAGAGGAGGCCAGGAUGUGGCCUCAUGUUCUGGUUGCUCUCACAUUUAAACAGGCUAAACCCACUUUGCAUUGUAUGUUAGGGGUGGUGCUUGUGGGACAAAGGGGGCUGUCAGAACAUUCUGGCUGCCACAUGAAGUUGACUUUGCCAGGACAGACUGGGUUGUGGGGGAAGGCAGCUACUGUAAUAAUUUGGCCAAGAAGUGGGCUGAGCAGGAGCAGGGCUGAGGGAGGGAGAGAGGGAAUGAGUAAGAAAGGCCCAGGGUACUGAUUUGACUGGGACUUCAGGGACAGGUGUGGGGCGAGAGGGAUGCUGGAAGUGAAGGAGGGAAAGUGCAGAGGCUUUCUGGGGAUUAAUAGGCAAUGAUCUCUAUGAGGGCGUGGUGAGUAGGCCCCAAACAUCCGGGGACUUCCCUGCCUGCCAUCCCUCUGUCUCUCUCUUCCUUUCCUACUGCCCAGGGCCUGGCCCUGCUGCACAUGCCCUGCCCUGGCCCCCAGAGUCCCCUUCUUUCCUGGCUGGGAGAUUAAGACUCUGCUGUGCCUACAGCAUUCUCAACCUCAAGUCAAGGUGGCCCUUUGGAGCCCAGGAGGCCACAUGGCUGAGUCAGGGCUGAGUCACCACCCCCCAAGGGCCUUGCCAUUUCCUGUGGAGAAGCCUCUUUACUGGCAGGGUUCUGUGCUCAGGUGGGAAAUCUGGAGAGGUCGGGGGCAGGGCUUCAUCUACUUUUACCCACUAACUCCCUAGACACUCCACUGGGGGUAGAGGGUUCCUACACGUAUGAUGAUCAAAACAUGUGUCUGUGCACAUGGGCCCUUAUGCAUUCACAGGUGUUUGCCUAUGCGACUGCAUGUCUGAAUGUUUUAUGUAUAUUUGAAUAUAGAUAGGGAACAAAUAUUUAUGGAGCACAUAUUAUGUGUGCAGCCUUUUACGUGUGUUACUUUCUAAUAACCCUAGGAGGCGUAGAUGCCUCCCAGGCUAUGGUUGAAAAUACUGACAUGCCCAAGGUGCAGGAGGUAUGAAUACCUCCCCACUGUGGCUGGUAACACCCCAGGUUUCUCCAACUCCACAGUGAUGGGCUUUCCUCCAGAGCCGGUUCCUCAGGGGCAGGAGUGAGAAGUGUGUGUGUCUGUAUUUAUCCUUCCACCAGUGGCUGUGAUUGGUCCUGUGGUUGGAAACAGGGUCAAGUAAGGCCCUUGGGAGUAGCUGGGUGAAUGGACGAUGGUGGCGUCCACCUUGGACAUGGCACAUACUUCUGGUCGGGUAUCCACGUGGCUGGCCAACCCGGACCUGCCCUAUUAGGGGCCAUCGCCCUCAUGGCUCAUCAGUGCUGAGUUUCAUUGCCUUCUUCGUAAUGCAAUACUAAUGGAUACAGGCAUGUAUCUGCCGUACACUAGAUGAAAUGUGGUUAUUUGCUCAGGUAGAAAUAAAGACUAAAAUACCAAAGUGGGAAAUCCUCUCCAUUGUGCCUUACUGAUAUUUAGGUAAAAAUUAUCUUAUUGGCUCUUUUUUUUUUUUUUUUGAGAGGGAGUCUCACUCUGCCCAGGCUGAAGUGCAAUGGCACAGUCUUGGCUUACUGCGAACUCUGCCGCCCGGUUUCAAGCAAUUCUCCGCAGCCUCCCGAGUAGCUGGGGUUACAGGCACACACAACCACGCCAGGCUAAUUUUUGUAUUUUUAGUAGAGACAGGGUUUCACCAUGUUGGCCAGGCUGGUCUCGAACUCCCUCCUCAGCCUCCCAAAAUGCUGGGAUUACAGGUGUGAGUCACCAUGCCCAGCCCAUCUUAUUGGCUCUUAAUAACUCAGACCAUAUGGUGAUAACUCCCAAAUCAGCACCCUCCCAAGUUCUGGCCCCGUGAAUUCAGUUGCUGAAUCCAAGUUCCUGAUUGGAAGUUCCUCAGGCACCAGCACUUGGGGCACCCGAGUGCUCUGCUCCAGGGGCUCAUCCCCGCUGGAAGCUUGAAUGUCUGCUCCUCCUUCUCUUCACCCAGCUCAGCCAAUCACUGUGUCCCUGAUUCUGCCUUCUUGCUGUCUUGCCAGUGUGUCUGCUCCUUUCUGUCCCUUCUCCCUGGAUGACUGCCAGUGCUUCCUGUUGCCCUCCCUGCCUCCAACUCUCCCUACCACCUGCAUGGCAGCCAGAGUGGGGUUCCUGCAAAUCUCCCCAAGUCUGUUUCCUACUUGGUAUGUCUGAUGGUUUCCUGCUGCCCUCAGCAUACAACGCCAUCCCUGAGAUGGCCCUGCUCAUCUUUCCACGCCCCCCCCCUCCGCCCUCCGCUGCCCCUCACCCCUUCUAAUUCUUCACCCAGGCCACAGAGCACCUUGCAGUUCCUCGAUGGAGCCAGUCUUCCUCUUGCCUCCAGCCUUUUGCUGUUUCUCCACCACCAGUCAUCUGGGCUACCCUCUAUUCUUCCAGGAGGUCACAGCCUAGAAGUCACAUCCUCUGAGUGGAGUCACCUGUCCACCCUUCCCUGGAGUAGGGAUCCUGACCUUAGGUUUAUCGUGACCCUUUCCACCUCCCCAGUCUGCCUUCAGCCCCCUCCGUCUCACUGGAUCCUCCUUCUCUCCUUGGGCACAAGGCUCUUCUGAUGGGCAAACACUAUGGUCAACUUUGGCCCCUUGCCCUCUGACCUUUCUAGGGUGGCAGCAGCGACCUGUUGACCUCUCCAUCUGUAUUUUAUUUAAACUCCUCUCUACCCUCUCCUUCCUAGAACUCUCUCCCUCUUGCAAGAUUCCUCAGUCCACUUUGGGCCUCUGUUUGUGAUUCUCAUCUCUUAUGUCUCCUCAGUUGACCCCUUGUUCGUUAACAUUCUCCUCCAUGCUGAUGAAACCCGCCAGGCUCCAGCCUUGAUGUUUAACUCUUGCCAGCCACCUCUGGCUGGCCGCAGGCUCCUUGGACUCCAUGUAUCCAGAAGUACUUAGCAUCUUCCCUUCUUCCUCAACAAGGGGCUCCUCCUGUAAUAGCCUCUGUCUCGGUGCCUGGUCCCC